GCCACUGUCAGGCCCCUGCACCUUCAGUUUACAGUCAUUGGACCAUAGAGAUGUGUCUGACCCUGCGUCUCCACUGCUCCGAGCAUCAUUCUUCAGUUUUGCAGUUAAAAUUUCCUUCUUAUGCUUUAGAAGCUUCAGUUCAGCACCAAGGCUACGCAGUUUCUGCUGCAAUUCAGCAGACAGAGAGGCGCUUCGGUCAAUGUGAUCACGAAGAAUGGCUGAACUCAACAUCUCACCACACAAGAAUUUAAGAAGGAAAAUUCUAUCCUCCAGUGGAAUCUCCCAAUAUUCCUUCAACUCCAUGGUCCUUGUUAAUUGAGAAAGUUUUUCCAUAAACUUGUGUGUUAGUUUUCUGCGCAACCUCCUCUUAACGCAUUGACGAAUAGUAUGAGAACCAGAAGAAGCAUUCUGGGACCGUGAUAUCUUAGCUUCACAAUCUG
RNAcentral lists this unclassified non-coding RNA (440 nucleotides) under Hevea brasiliensis (rubber tree). Lineage: Eukaryota; Viridiplantae; Streptophyta; Magnoliopsida; Malpighiales; Euphorbiaceae. The record is from RNAcentral.